UUCUCUUUCUUUUCAUCAUGUUAUGUUAUGUUCCGCCGCUCCUUGUCUCUCAUUUCACCUUUGAUUUUCUUGUAUUGUGUGAACAGAGCAACAGAAGAAGAUGAAAGACGUAUCUUCAACGACACCGUUUCUUCUCCUAUGUUAUACUGCAACCAGAUGUCUUGUUGAGAAUGAUCAAACAAAAACAACAUUCAAUUUUCUCUGCAUAUCAAAAAGGUACCUUUUUUACAUUCUUCAUAAUUCAAAAACGAAAUAACAAAACAUGCUAUGUCCCAAAACUCUGUUUCACAUUCUUAUUGGUACUAAUAUGGUGAAAGACAGUUUUUUUUUUUUUUUUAGUUUGCUACAGUAUUUUGCAUUUUUUUCAUUGCAACAUAGUGGUUCGGAUACCCAUCUUUUCAUUGAUAUCUUGUUUGGAUACCCAUCUUUUCAUUCUUGAUUAUUCAAGAUUCAAGAACAUCUAAUCUUCUACUUGAAAAGAAAAAACCAAGUUGGAACUAAAGGCAUUUUUAGUUAUAAUUUUCUACUCAUAAAUAUGGGGAGGAAUAAUUUAAUCUUUGAUGACCCAAAUGCGGUCUUGCAAAAUGUGCUAGCUUGGCUGAAAGUUUUUGUAUGAUGUAAAUUCGAAUCAAAAUGGAUAAAUGUUUGUUCGACCCUUACAUCCAUUAUUGGAAUUUUGAAAUGGUAUUUUAAGUUAUUGGUGACCCUUACUCGAUAUAUAUAAAUUAUGAGAUGGUUAACAUUUUAUUUGAUGACCCUCAAGUACAAUUGUUGGUUGUAUUUGUAUAUAUGUUGCCUUGAUGACCUUCGCGCUAUAUGUUGCUUAGAUGACCCUUAAGUCCAUUUUUUAGUGGACUAUAUAAAUUCUUAGAUGGUUUAUAAGUUGCCUUAAUGACCCUUGCCUCAUUAUGUGGAUAAAUGUUGCAUUGAUUAAGUCCAAUUUCUAUUGGCUGUAUAAAUUAGGUGAUGGAUAUAUGUUGCUUCGAUGACCCUUAAGUCCAUUUUUUAUUGGACUAAAUAAAUUCUUAGAUGGUUAUAUGUUGCCUUGAUGGAUGACCCUUGCCUCAAUAUGUGGAUAAAUGUUGCCUCAAUUAUGUCCUAUUGGCUAUUUGGCUAUAUAAAUUAUGUGAUGGAUAUAUGUUGCUUCGAUGACCCUUAAGUCCAUUUUUUAUUGGACUCUAUAAAUUCUUAGAUGGUUUAUAAGUUGCCUUGAUGACCCUUGCCUCAAUAUGUGGAUAAAUGUUGCCUCAAAUAAGUCCACUUUCUAUUGGCUAUAUAAAUUAUGUGAUGGACUUGAUGAAAUGCCUUGAUCAAUGCAAUUCUUGGGAUGACAUGCCUUGAUGAAAUGCAAUUCAUAAUGCAAAAUUAAGACAUAUUGAAAUAAAGUAAAAAAGAGCUUGCAAAUAUUAUGGAGAAAGAUGCUGAAGUUAAAUUUCUGGCACUAGAUCAAUGCAAAAAGCUGAAAGUUAAGUCACUAUGAGUCCUCUUGGUUUAUCAAUAUGGUUCUAUGGAGUGACACUACAGGGUUCUACUCUGCUGAUGAUACGUCAUUUUUAUAUGCCAGAAUAAUAGAUCAUACAAUUUGAUUGAAUUAGUUUGAUUUAUAUGGUAUAAUCACAGGGAUAAUUCUUGCUAAACUUUGCAGCUAGUCAUUUUUAUAGUGUAGCCUCAAUGACCCUCAAGUAUAAUAUCUAUUCAAAAUGUAACUCUUGGAACACGUGCCUUUGAUGAAAUGCAAUUCAUAAUGCAAACUUGAGAGAUGUUUCAUCUUACUCAUUCAUCUGCAAUUGAAUUCUUUAUUCAUAAUAUGAUUGAUCAUGUAAAAUUUAGAUGAUAUAAUUUGAGCUUUAUGAUCUAAAUGAAAAAUGUAAUAGCAACAUGUGUUAAUUAAGAUGAUGAAAAGUAGAAAUCACAAGCAACUUUGCUUCUAAGGUUUGUGGUGGGAUUGGAUUAAUAAGAACUAUAAGCAUGUUAACUUAGCCUUCAUGAUAAAAAGUAAUUGUCAGCUCCAAUCAUUCUAGUCUUUGGGCAACAAUUUUUUGUUAAAUGUAAAGAUUUCUCUGAAUAAAACGGAUUGUAGUCUCUGAAAAGACAUCUGUUAAUGCUUGGUAUAAAUUUUAUAACAAUGUAUGUGGAGAUUAAUGCCAUUGUCUUAAAUUCUACUUUUAUAGUGAUUUUAGUCUUUCUUUAAUUUCUUUAAUGCCAGUUUUUCCUUAUUUAUCAUAUGAUCGAAAGGGAGGGGUGGUAAAGACAUGAUUAAGUUGUCUAUACAUGAAGUAAAAAAGAAAAAAGAGCUCGCAAAUAUUAUGGAGAUGCAAAAAGCUCAAAGUUCAAUUACAUGUAGGUUUAUGAAUUUGGUAAUUUUGAGUGACAGUACAAGGUGUUGUUUGACAUAUUUUUUGGUUUUGCAUCUGGAAUUCUAAUGUUGGUAACUUGGUGUCACAUUUUUUGGUUUGGCUUCAUCAUUUUAGAAGUAUCAUUUUCUGAUAUGCUAGUUUCACUGUCACAUACUCUUGUGCAGCGUUGCCUAAGUGUCUGACCUUGAGUUUUAGUUCUCUUCUCGAUUUUAUUUGUUGACUCUAUUCUGAAGUAGCAUCAAACUUGUAUCGGUGUUCUUAGUUUUUCAUUGGGUGGAAAUAAAAAACUUGUGCUCACUCUAUUUUCAAGGUGGAUUUAGCUUUUCACAUUAUAUACAUGCCUAGCUGUUUUAUCUUAUUUUUAUGAAUUUUUGCAUACCAAUUGGAUAUGGAAGGUCCAAAAUUUCCCUGAAAAAAGUGUAAUUCCCUGAAAUGAGAGAAUUCCGUACUGUUGUGUUCUCGAUGGCAAUGUGCAACCAAUACAACAUGCUUACUGCAUUUUUUUUUUAUCCAGAUACAUUUUAAAGGCAAUAUUAAGACCUAUUCGACACCAUCUCUAUUUGCAGUGUUUUUGUUCACAACAUUGGAGUUCAAGCUGGACACUACUAUGCUUGUAUAUAAG
This 2979-nucleotide long non-coding RNA is filed under the name Trifolium pratense (red clover). RNAcentral describes it as "long non-coding RNA (TPRA_LNC002907)". Lineage: Eukaryota; Viridiplantae; Streptophyta; Magnoliopsida; Fabales; Fabaceae. The record is from RNAcentral.